This is a non-coding RNA of Gallus gallus (chicken), 2766 nucleotides long. Lineage: Eukaryota; Metazoa; Chordata; Aves; Galliformes; Phasianidae. The record is from the annotation of a RefSeq genome assembly.
ACCAGUCGGCUCCGCAACCAUGAGCCCACUCGUCUCCUCCCUCCUGCUCCUGGCCGCCCUGCCAGGGCUGAUGGCGGCCGUGACGUUGGACGAGUCCGGGGGCGGCCUCCAGACGCCCAGAGGAGCGCUCAGCCUCGUCUGCAAGGCCUCCGGGUUCACCUUCAGCAGUUAUGGCAUGGGUUGGGUGCGACAGGCGCCCGGCAAAGGGCUGGAGUGGGUCGCUGGUAUUGGCAGCAGUGGUAGUGGCACAGCAUACGGGUCGGCGGUGAAGGGCCGUGCCACCAUCUCGAGGGACAACGGGCAGAGCACAGUGAGGCUGCAGCUGAACAACCUCAGGGCUGAGGACACCGGCAUCUACUACUGCGCCAAAGCUGCUGGUAGUGGUUACUGUGGUUGGAGUGCUUAUGCUGGUAGCAUCGACGCAUGGGGCCACGGGACCGAAGUCAUCGUCUCCUCCGCCUCGGCCUCCCCGUCGCCCCCCCGCCUCUUCCCGUUGGUUCUGUGCUCCCCCUCCGACUCCGUCUACACCGUCGGCUGCGCCGCCUUCGACUUCCAGCCCUCCUCCAUCGCCUUCACGUGGUUCGAUUCCAACAACAGUUCCGUUUCCGGUAUGGAUGUUAUCCCUAAAGUCAUUUCUGGUCCACCUUACCGGGCCGUCAGUCGAAUACAGAUGAAUCAAAGCGAAGGGAAAGAGAAACAGCCCUUCCGGUGUCGGGCGGCGCAUCCACGCGGCAACGUCGAGGUCAGCGUGAUGAACCCAGGUCCCCCGAUUCCCACCCCCCUUUUCGUCACCAUGCACCCCCCGUCCCGCGAGGACUUCGAAGGCCCCUUCCGCAACGCCUCCAUCCUCUGCCAGACCCGCGGGCGCCGCCGUCCCGCCGAGGUCACGUGGUACAAAAAUGGCAGCCCCGUCGCCGCCGCCGCCGCCACCACCGCCACCACCGUCGGCCCCGAAGUGGUGGCCGAGAGCCGCAUCAGCGUCACCGAAAGCGAAUGGGACACCGGGGCCACCUUCAGCUGCGUCGUGGAGGGGGAGAUGAGGAACACCAGCAAGAGGAUGGAGUGCGGAUUAGAACCCGUCGUGCAGCAGGACAUCGCCAUCCGCGUCAUCACGCCGUCCUUCGUGGACAUCUUCAUCAGCAAAUCGGCCACGCUGACGUGCCGGGUGAGCAACAUGGUGAACGCCGAUGGCCUGGAGGUGUCGUGGUGGAAGGAGAAGGGGGGCAAACUGGAGACGGCGUUGGGGAAGAGGGUCCUGCAAAGCAACGGCCUCUACACGGUGGACGGGGUGGCCACGGUGUGCGCCAGCGAAUGGGACGGAGGGGAUGGCUACGUGUGUAAGGUGAACCACCCCGAUCUGCUCUUCCCCAUGGAGGAGAAGAUGAGGAAGACGAAAGCCAGCAACGCCCGCCCCCCAUCCGUCUACGUCUUCCCCCCCCCCACGGAACAACUGAACGGCAACCAACGGCUCAGCGUCACCUGCAUGGCUCAGGGCUUCAACCCCCCCCACCUCUUCGUCAGGUGGAUGAGAAAUGGGGAACCCCUCCCCCAAAGCCAAUCGGUCACAUCGGCCCCCAUGGCGGAGAACCCCGAAAAUGAGUCCUACGUGGCCUACAGCGUUUUGGGGGUGGGGGCCGAAGAGUGGGGCGCCGGCAACGUCUACACGUGCCUGGUGGGCCACGAAGCUCUGCCCCUCCAGCUGGCCCAGAAGUCGGUGGAUAGGGCUUCGGGUAAAGCCAGUGCUGUCAAUGUCUCCUUGGUGUUGGCCGACUCGGCCGCCGCCUGCUAUUAAUUAAUUAACCCGCUGUGUUAAUUGGGGUACCCGGUGGGAUUAAAGAGCAGAUGUCCUUCGGACGGGGUUUUGGGGUCGUCGAUUUCAUUCGGGGGUCAUCACCUCAAUUGAGACGGUUUGGGGUCAUUGACAACAUGGGUAGGGAGUGGAUUCAUAAUUAGAGGGGGUCUGUUAAUUAGGGUAAUGAGAGCGAUUAGGGCUUCAUUGGGAUCUAUUGGGUCGUUAAUGACUGGGAGGGAUUGGGUGGCGUCGGUUCCAAGGAGGUGUUUGGGGUCAUCGUUGGGAUACGUUGGGUCAGUGUCAAGAAGGGGAUAGACUGGGGUCAUUAGUGUAAUUAGAGGGCUUAAUUGGGCCGUCAUCUUAAUUAGGGUCAUCGGAGUCAUCGUCUUAAUUAGAGGGAUUGGGGGUCGUAGGUUUAAUUUGGAGAGUUUGGGGUCAUCGAUGGCUACAGCUGGAGUUGAGGUCACUAUCAGAUGAGUUUAGGCUAAUUAGUGUAAUUAGAGGGCUUAAUUGGGCCAUCAUCUUCAUUAGGAUCAUCAGUCAUUGUCUUAAUUAGAGGGAUUGGGGUUCAUGGGUUUAAUUGGGAGAGUUUGGGGUCAUUAUCGUCUCAAUUGGGAGAGUUUGGGGUCAUCGAUGGGAGAGUUGGGAUCAGCGUCACUAUCAGAAGCGAUUGGGGUCAUUAGUGUAAUUAGAGGGCUUAAUUGGGCCCAACGUCUUAAUUAGGAUCGCCAGACUCAUCAUCUUAACGAGAAGGGAUGGGAGCGCUGAGGGUAAUGAGAAGGGUUGGGGGUCAUCGGCGUACGGAGGGGGAUUUGGGGUCGUUAUGGUAACGAGAAAGAGAGGGCUUCGGGUAAAGGCAGUGCUGUCAAUGUCUCCUUGGUGUUGGCCGACUCGGCCGCCGCCUGCUAUUAAUUAAUUAACCCGCUGUGUUAAUUGGGGUACCCGGUGGGAUUAAAGAGCAGAUGUCCUUCGGA